Molecule: ribosomal RNA, 580 nt
Filed under: Inocybe sp. UBC F17201 OC129
Lineage: Eukaryota; Fungi; Basidiomycota; Agaricomycetes; Agaricales; Inocybaceae
Description: eukaryotic LSU rRNA
Rfam family: Eukaryotic large subunit ribosomal RNA
Source: RNAcentral
UUUGACCUCAAAUCAGGUAGGACUACCCGCUGAACUUAAGCAUAUCAAUAAGCGGAGGAAAAGAAACUAACAAGGAUUCCCCUAGUAACUGCGAGUGAAGCGGGAAAAGCUCAAAUUUGAAAUCUGGCGGUUUUUGACCGUCCGAGUUGUAAUCUAGAGAAGUGUUACCUGUGCUGGACCGUGUAAAAGUCUCCUGGAAUGGAGCAUCAUAGAGGGUGAGAAUCCCGUCUUUGACAUGGACGACCAGUGCGUCGUGGUGCGCUCUCAAAGAGUCGAGUUGUUUGGGAAUGCAGCUCAAAAUGGGUGGUAAAUGCCAUCUAAAGCUAAAUAUUGGCGAGAGACCGAUAGCGAACAAGUACCGUGAGGGAAAGAUGAAAAGCACUUUGGAAAGAGAGUUAAACAGUACGUGAAAUUGCUGAAAGGGAAACGCUUGAAGUCAGUCACGUCGGCUAGAAAUCAGCCUUGCUUCUGCUCGGUGUACUUUCUGGUUGACGGGUCAGCAUCAAUUUCGACCGCUGGACAAAGUCUUUGGGAAUGUGGCAUCCUCGGAUGUGUUAUAGCCCAUCGUCGCAUGCAGUGG